Long non-coding RNA from Gadus macrocephalus (Pacific cod), 2450 nucleotides. RefSeq lists it as uncharacterized. The record is from RefSeq and is a predicted model, not a curated record. NCBI's taxonomy places the organism in Eukaryota, Metazoa, Chordata, Actinopteri, Gadiformes, Gadidae. The transcript is spliced from 2 exons.
UUAAGGACAGUUUAUCUUCAUGCAGUAAGCCCAUACGUGCUGCUAGCGUCAUCGCAGAACCAAAAAACACUGGAACAAGCUUGAUUUGUCCGAAAAGAAUAGAAAUCGAUUUCAUUGUAGGCCUAAUCAAACUUGUGUAUGACCACAAACAAUAAUCCAGCACUAUGGCACUAACAUCAAAAAAAAUGGCAGUUUAAUAUCAAGUUCUCAAUAUAAUUAACAUAAUCUUACCAAGUUUUCACAAAGUCAAUUAUUUUUAAAUACAUGUAGGCUAUAUCGAAGCAAAAUUGAAGAUAAUAAAAAUAUUUGGUCGGCUUUUACAUUACUGUGCCAAAAUGUCUGUGUUGUACACCUGAACAUAUUCCAACUGCCUUCUUCACUCCUCUCCAGAUUUAGAGCACUCAAAUGUUUGCAUUCAAAUAAGUAUUUUUGAUAUAACACUGAGCAUCUGGUUAUUGUUAAGUUUAAAAUUAUUAAUGUUAUUAUAUUAAAGAUUUCCGUAGAAUGUGUCAGAAAUAUACGGUCAAAUAUCAAAUCCUCCAUGUUGAAAUACAUAGCGUCUGAGAAAUAGUUGGCUAGCAAAGCGCCAUUAAUUAAACAAAAAAACUCCAGAACGUUAAUAUUUUUUUUCUCCGAAGUGAACAGUAAAAUUGAAUUUAUUGGACUAAACCAAACAUUUGUAGGACAUCACGAUCUGGCUUGUUGUUUUUGCUCCCUCAAGCUGUACGCUAAAAGCUCCGUGGAAUGUAAGGAGCGGAAUGUGCUUUGGUUUAGGUCAGUCCACUUGUAAAGGCAUGUGGAUUACACUAAUUAUUCAUGGGCACGCUUGGAGGUGUGGUCGAUAAUAUCUCCCUGCUCUAUUGUUGCACAGAGUGUUCGGCUAGGAGCACUUCAACCAGCCUGGUGGCGUAGUAGCUUUAGACGUGCACGGACACACACAGGCCUUCUUGCUCUUAGUAAAUACCCUGUCUGGUUGAACACGAAUGUUGAAAUUGUUCUUAUUGUAGGCUGAAAUCCCUCGCCAGCGAUGUCACAUGGUAACCACUUGGUGUUUGGGGCUGACCCAAGACAUCGUUUUUGGAAAAAAAUGAAAUUGUUUGGUUGCUCUAUAAUGAAUGGACAAGCACCAACAUUGAUAAGAAUAGGUGCAAGACAUUGCGACUCCUGUAUAUAUAUAUAUAUAUAUAUAUAUAUUUGUAUAUAAAAUAACUCUUUGGCAAAGAUAUUCGCAAUUAUAUUUGACUUUUUCUCAAAACAUUGAAAGCAAUAAUCAAAAAAGAUGGUCCAGUAACACAUUUUCAUAGCAAAAAAAAAAAAAGGUAGAUGAAUCAAACAUUCAUAUCUCCCGAAAAAUAAUAAUCAAUCGAAAAAGGCAAACAAAAUGCAGCAAUCAAACUUGUUUCCUAAACGAAAGGAUAACAAAAUAUAUCUUUACCUCAUGUAAAGAGGACAAAUUACAUAAUGCAGUUCACAACAAAAAUAUUUAUAAUCCUAUAUUUAGUACCAAAAAGUAGUGUUCAUCCUUAGGUUCAAAAAGGAUGAACACUUGUCCGUGUUUAAAUGUUGAUAUAAACUUUGCUACAAUGCUGAAGUGAACGGGUCCUGGUUUGGCUACAGCUCUCUGAAAGUAUAAAUUAAAUCGAUCUUAAAAGGUCCCAUGACAUGCCACCAGGAGUGAGUGUGAUUAGCCGUUACAAGCGUUUUGAAAAUCUCCCCCUUAUGACAUCACAAGUGGGCGUGUCCACCUAGAUGUGUGCUGGAUAGAUCAGUCUACCAGCCUACCCAGUGGACUGUAGCAAACGUUGCUCAUCUAUCCGUCACACAUCUAGGUGGACACGCCCACUUAAGAUGUCAUAAGGGGCAGAUUUUCAAAACGGCUUGUAACGGCUAAUCACACUCAAACCUGGUGGCAUUUCAUGGGACCUUUAAAUGCAUGAACAGGGCCAGCCCGAUGUGGUAAAGCUGUCGUAAAUGGAUGUCUGACAUGUACAAAGUCCUCAAUACUGAUGUACUUCACCGUCCCAUGAGGAGUGGACGAGUGAGGUUGAGUGACUAACUGAAUACGAUAUUAUUUUGUUUUAAUUUCUUGAGCCUUCGAAUACACAUCAGCCGUUAAAUCCCCUUACCAUUUGGACAGUCUGACAUUUUGGUUUCCGUCUAAUCAUUCAUAAUUCAGAGAAUAAGGCAGGCGGCGAUGGGAAAAGAAGACUAAAUGACAGAAAGGGGUGAAAGGGGAGGAGGCUCGACUAAAAGUAAAAAGCGUUGCAGAGCAAAAAGCCACGCUAAAAAACAGAAAAACUCAAAUCCCUGGGACGACAUCCAAAGCUCUGACCCACUCCGACCUCCCCUCAAAAGGACUGCUGUAUCUCUUUGUGAAUCGGUGACAACAUUCUGUUAGACAAGGUGAUGUCACCGACGGUUGGCCAAUCUGAAAAAACGGUUGCGUUUGG